Molecule: ribosomal RNA, 425 nt
Filed under: uncultured bacterium
Lineage: Bacteria
Description: bacterial SSU rRNA
Rfam family: Bacterial small subunit ribosomal RNA
Source: RNAcentral
GGGGAAUUUUGGACAAUGGGCGCAAGCCUGAUCCAGCAAUGCCGCGUGCAGGAAGAAGGCCUUCGGGUUGUAAACUGCUUUUGUCAGGGAAGAAAUCUUCUGGGUUAAUACCUCGGGAGGAUGACGGUACCUGAAGAAUAAGCACCGGCUAACUACGUGCCAGCAGCCGCGGUAAUACGUAGGGUGCGAGCGUUAAUCGGAAUUACUGGGCGUAAAGCGUGCGCAGGCGGCUUUGCAAGACAGAUGUGAAAUCCCCGGGCUCAACCUGGGAACUGCAUUUGUGACUGCAAGGCUAGAGUACGGCAGAGGGGGAUGGAAUUCCGCGUGUAGCAGUGAAAUGCGUAGAUAUGCGGAGGAACACCAAUGGCGAAGGCAAUCCCCUGGGCCUGUACUGACGCUCAUGCACGAAAGCGUGGGGAGCAAAC